CCUUUAACACUUUGAUGCAACAUUAUUACGCAUCACUCUUUCUCUUUCUGGCCCACAAAACCUUAAACCUUCUUAAACAAAGCUUCUAUUUCUGUUUUUCUUAUCAUUUGCAGUAAAAAAAAAAAGUUUAUGUUCUGUGUUAAGACAGGAGAAUGAGCAUCAAGUUGAAUCUGUUGUUGUGUGUUUUGGUUUUGUUUUUGGAGUGUUGUUUGGGUAGGUUUUUGGUGGAGAAGAAUAGCUUGAGAAUCACUUCUCCAAAAUCAUUGAAAGGUUCAUAUGAAUGUGCAAUUGGGAAUUUUGGAGUGCCUCAGUAUGGUGGAACAUUGAUUGGUUCUGUGUUGUAUCCGAAUGUGAAUCAGAAAGGGUGCAGAAACUUCACUGAUUAUGAUGCUUCGUUUCAGUCCAAGCCUGGAGUUUUUCCUACCUUUCUUCUUGUUGAUCGUGGAGAUUGCUACUUCACUUUGAAGGCGUGGAAUGCGCAAAAUGGUGGAGCAGCGGCUAUUGUUGUAGCGGAUGACAAAGAAGAAACGCUUAUCACCAUGGACACUCCUGAAGAAGGGCAUGUUGCGAACGAUGAUUAUGUGGAAAAGAUUAAUAUUCCUUCUACUCUUAUCAGCAAAUCCUUGGGGGACAGAAUCAAGAAGGCUCUUUCAAAGGGUGAGGUUGUUAAUAUAAAUCUUGAUUGGAGAGAGGCUCUUCCGCAUCCGGAUGACAGAGUUGAGUAUGAGUUAUGGACGAAUAGCAAUGACGAAUGCGGUACAAAGUGUGACAAUCAAAUUGAUUUUGUGAAGAGCUUUAAAGGCGCGGCUCAGUUUCUUGAGAAGAAGGGGUUCACUCAAUUUACUCCUCACUUUAUAACUUGGUAUUGCCCUAAUGAUUUUCUCUUGAGCAAUCAAUGCAAGUCUCAGUGUAUAAACAACGGGCGAUACUGUGCUCCGGACCCUGAGAAUGAUUUCAAUAAAGGGUAUGAUGGAAAAGAUGUCGUUCUUCAGAAUUUACGCCAGGCUUGCUUCUUUAAAGUGGCAAAUGAAAGUGGAAGGCCUUGGAAAUGGUGGGACUAUGUGAGCGACUUUUCAAUCCGUUGCCCCAUGAGAGAGAAAAAAUACACAGAAGAAUGUUCAGAUCAAGUUAUUAAAUCUCUUGGUUUUGAUAUUGAGAAGAUAAACGACUGUGUUGGGGAUCCUGAUGCUGAUGUUGAAAAUCGUGUUCUCAAAGCCGAACAGGAUUUACAGAUUGGCAAAGAGUCUCGGGGCGAUAUUACUAUACUUCCUACUCUUGUUAUAAACAACAGACAAUAUAGAGGUAAGUUGUCAAGACCAGCAGUUCUUAAGGCAAUAUGUUCAGGUUUCGAAGAGACCACUGAGCCAUCAAUUUGCUUAACUUCAGACAUGGAAACAAACGAGUGUUUGGAAAACAAUGGUGGCUGUUGGCAAGAUAAAUCUUCUAACAUUACCGCGUGCAGGGACACUUUUCGAGGAAGAGUAUGUGAAUGCCCUAUUGUAAAAAAUGUGAAGUUUGUUGGGGAUGGAUAUACUCACUGUGAAGCUUCAGGAGCCUUAAGCUGUGAAUUCCGUAAUGGAGGUUGUUGGAAACAAUCCCACGGUGGAAGGCUUUACUCUGCUUGCCAUGAUGACUAUAAAAAAGGCUGCGAGUGUCCGUCAGGGUUCAAAGGCGACGGAGUUUUAUCAUGUGAAGAUAUUGAUGAGUGCAAAGAAAAGUUAGCAUGUCAGUGUCCACAAUGCAAAUGCAAAAACACCUUUGGGAGUUACGAGUGCAAAUGCAAUAGCGGUCUGCUCUACUCACGAGAGAAUGACACAUGUAUUGGUAGAUAUACUUCUUCAGUGCCGAGUAUUUGGAUGAUUAUACUUGUCGCGGUUGUUACUCUUUCUGGAGGAUAUGCUUUUUACAAGUACAGAAUCCAGAGAUACAUGGACACUGAGAUACGUGCGAUUAUGGCGCAAUACAUGCCUUUGGAUAAUCAACCUCUUAUUAUUCCUAAUCAAGAAGCUCGUCAUGAUAUCUAGGAGAUGUUGAUCUUUUUCUGAGAGGAAUAUUAGUCUUUAAGUUAGGACAAUCUCUACAGCUAGACAAAGAUAGAGGACACCACGUCCGACGCGCAUACUCCUGGAGAUGAUCACGCUUACAAGAAUAAGUGAAGAGUGAAGGAGAAUUAAUGACAUGCUUUGGCAACACAAUCAUAUGGCUUUCUUGACCAUUUUCACUGGGGCAAUGUAUGGGCAAUAUAUUCUGCUCGAGUAGUCGUUAACAGGAUUGUUGAUUGUAGAUUUGUCUUCCAGUUGAUAGAUGUUCCAAACAUUACAAACACAAAAUCUGGUAGGGAUUUUUCAAGUGAUCACCUUACCUGCAUAGUCUGAAUCUACAAAAUCCUCCAAAUCCUUUUUCUUUUGAGUUGAUUUUGUGUACUUUAAACCACCCUUUAAAUAACCAAUCAAAUACCUCAGCGCUCACGUCAAAGCUUCUCAAUGUACCUAACUAGGAUUUGCCAAAAAAGUUACUUACCAUACUUACUGCAUAUGCUAAUUUUGGUAUACUACAAACUAUAGUAUACAUAAUUCUUCUAAUUCC
This is an RNA transcript of Vicia villosa (hairy vetch), 2586 nucleotides long. It is a transcript of the gene named vacuolar-sorting receptor 1-like, with no coding region annotated. The transcript is spliced from 13 exons. Lineage: Eukaryota; Viridiplantae; Streptophyta; Magnoliopsida; Fabales; Fabaceae. The record is from RefSeq and is a predicted model, not a curated record.